This 47-nucleotide ribosomal RNA is filed under the name Combretum hereroense. RNAcentral's name for it is "partial 18S ribosomal RNA". The record is from RNAcentral. Lineage: Eukaryota; Viridiplantae; Streptophyta; Magnoliopsida; Myrtales; Combretaceae.
UCGCGAGAAGUCCACUGAACCUUAUCAUUUAGAGGAAGGAGAAGUCG